CCGUACACUGAUAAACCUCUUCAAUGUUUGCUCCAAGGGCUAUGAGCCUUGGGCGAGUUAAGGUUUUCUGUGUUGUUUUCCUACUAAUGGCAUUGGUUUCCUCUAACCUUUCCUCUCCGUCCGGCAUCCUUACGGGUGUUGGGUGGACCUAUGUAGCUAGGUCCGUCUUCCAACCAUGGUGGCGAAAACCAAACUGCUGGAUUGGAAUACGGUCUCUAGUCGUGCCCCGGGAUGCAGAAAGUUGCGUGGGGAUGGUUCAUUCGUCGUAUUCCCAAUUAAGCGUUUUACGCUAAGCAUGAACGACUACCGUGGACGAGUUGGACAUUACCCUCUCUUCGAGGGGGUGCUCAUGCGUUUCGGUGUCGAUCGAGGAGUGCUACCUGGUUGAUCCUGCCAGUAGUCAUAUGCUUGUCUCAAAGAUUAAGCCAUGCAUGUGUAAGUAUGAACAAAUUCAGACUGUGAAACUGCGAAUGGCUCAUU
Molecule: unclassified non-coding RNA, 480 nt
Filed under: Krascheninnikovia lanata
Lineage: Eukaryota; Viridiplantae; Streptophyta; Magnoliopsida; Caryophyllales; Amaranthaceae
Description: partial contains external transcribed spacer and small subunit ribosomal RNA
Rfam family: Eukaryotic small subunit ribosomal RNA (bases 378-480)
Source: RNAcentral